GAAAUGCGAUACGUAAUGUGAAUUGCAGAAUUCCGUGAAUCAUCGAAUCUUUGAACGCACAUUGCACCCGGUGGUAUUCCGCCGGGUAUGCCUGUCUGAGCGUCAUUUCUACCCUCAAGCCCUGCUUGGUGUUGGCGGAUUGCCCCCUGCGGCAACCGCUGAAAUUGAAUGGCGGUAGCACACUCGUCCCCUGUACAGUACUAUUCUUACAGCGGCCUUGUGGACCAACCAGCCCAACCCCAAGAAAUAGCAAAGUUGACCUCAGAUCAGGUAGGAAUACCCGCUGAACUUAA
This 293-nucleotide unclassified non-coding RNA is filed under the name uncultured Ascomycota. RNAcentral's name for it is "partial contains 5.8S ribosomal RNA, internal transcribed spacer 2, and large subunit ribosomal RNA". The stretch from base 1 to 105 matches the Rfam family "5.8S ribosomal RNA", at positions 50 to 154 of the family's 154-position model. The record is from RNAcentral. Lineage: Eukaryota; Fungi; Ascomycota.